This 427-nucleotide ribosomal RNA is filed under the name uncultured bacterium. RNAcentral describes it as "partial 16S ribosomal RNA". It matches the Rfam family "Bacterial small subunit ribosomal RNA", at positions 355 to 774 of the family's 1533-position model. The record is from RNAcentral.
UGGGGAAUAUUGGACAAUGGGCGAAAGCCUGAUCCAGCCAUGCCGCGUGUGUGAAGAAGGUCUUCGGAUUGUAAAGCACUUUAAGUUGGGAGGAAGGGCAUUAACCUAAUACGUUAGUGUUUUGACGUUACCGACAGAAUAAGCACCGGCUAACUCUGUGCCAGCAGCCGCGGUAAUACAGAGGGUGCAAGCGUUAAUCGGAAUUACUGGGCGUAAAGCGCGCGUAGGUGGUUUGUUAAGUUGGAUGUGAAAUCCCCGGGCUCAACCUGGGAACUGCAUUCAAAACUGACUGACUAGAGUAUGGUAGAGGGUGGUGGAAUUUCCUGUGUAGCGGUGAAAUGCGUAGAUAUAGGAAGGAACACCAGUGGCGAAGGCGACCACCUGGACUAAUACUGACACUGAGGUGCGAAAGCGUGGGGAGCAAGCA